UACAGAGGUCUCAAGCGUUGUUCGGAUUCAUUGGGCGUAAAGGGCGCGUAGGCGGCGCGGUAAGUCGGGUGUGAAAUCUCGGAGCUUAACUCCGAAACUGCAUUCGAUACUGCCGUGCUUGAGGACUGGAGAGGAGACUGGAAUUUACGGUGUAGCGGUGAAAUGCGUAGAUAUCGUAAGGAAGACCAGUGGCGAAGGCGGCUCUCUGGGACGGUACUGACGCUGAGACGCGAAAGCGUGGGGAGCGAACAGG
RNAcentral lists this ribosomal RNA (253 nucleotides) under uncultured bacterium. Its description in RNAcentral is "partial 16S ribosomal RNA". It matches the Rfam family "Bacterial small subunit ribosomal RNA", at positions 524 to 776 of the family's 1533-position model. The record is from RNAcentral.